GGACCUAGCUGCACCGACUGGGGCCCUCUCCGCAUCGCUGCCUCCUUUCCCUCUGGUGCCCUCUCGCUUUCUGCAAUUUUCAAAUAUCUGGCGUUGGAAUGUGUGUCUGUGUUUAUUUACUUUUGGUGCUUGGAGUCACUUCUUUGCGUUGUCUGCUAAGGAUACAUGAAGGGGGUGGAAGGAUGGAGGAAGGUGGACUGGUGAGUUAGCUCAUGAGAUGCCAGUGAGCGUUGACGCAUUCCUGCCAUGGUGGUGGAUCAGGACGGGCAGGUCACUUCUGUGUGACUAGUUGACAUGCGAUGACGCUUACGGGCUUUGGGUGGGGGCACAGAGCGACAGAGCAGGGCCAAGAGGGGUCUGAAGAUUGAGUGCGCUCGUGUGAGAGAGGUGAAGAUCACCACAACAAGCGGUUGAAGGUUGCAUUGACCUGCAGUGAUGGAGUGGGCAACACUACUUCGACGCAAAUUCUGCUGAACGUAGGACUGAUGAGUAAAAUGACAUCGCUUCGUGACGAGGUGUUGAAGUACACGAUUGAGGAAGACCUGCAGCAGUUCAACACGUUGGCGAUUAAGCGACUGAAGGACAUCCAGUGUUCUAGGAUUAGGGCCGGGUUCUCUUCCAAGAAUGCCAAUCCGCGGGAGUUGAGAGGCAAGCUUUGGCCCUGUUAGGGAUUUCGUGAAGUUGUCAACCCGCAUUUCGGAGGUAGGACAAUAUUCAAAACGAAUUUUUUGUUGGAUAGCUAACUGGCAAAUAAAAUGAUCGGAUGCGUGCAAAUGCUGCGCUAGUUGAGCGAUCCGAUUGCAUUAUUAUACGAAAAGUCUCGGGGUGCAAGUGCACCGGAUGGAGUGGAGGAACAGUCGAAGGCCAAGAGUUUGAUGUCGAGCGCGAGCGGAGUAGAUACCAGUCGUGAAUCCAGGAAGCCAUACUCAAUCAAUUUUUCUUUUAAAAAAAGGCUUUAAGACACACGAAGCCACCCUUGCUGCACAUCGCACAUCAUAUAGAGGCUUGGAAUAUGGUAAACAUUGCUGAGGUCGGACAGCAGAAAGCGGGAGUGAAGUUGGUUUUGACAUCUUGAAGGAGCGAAAGAUUGUUACUGGCAACAUUGUAUCAUCCAAGCAAAGCGUGAGGCUGAUAAAGGAGAAGCCGCAAUUGAGAUGGUAUACAUUUCGAUCUGCGGCGGAGUUGAUGAAGCCUAGAGUGGCCAAGUAAGAAUCGAUGACCUGCAACCACUCCCGAGGGGAUUAUUUCAGGUCAUACAGAGUUUUAUGAAGCCGACAAAUAAGCCCAGUGUGAGGAGGAGUGACACCAGCUGAGACGUCCAUAUAAAUCUCUUCGUGCAUGAUCUAGUUCAAAAAGGUUGUUUUAACGUCCAUUUGUUGGACGUGAAAGUUCUGCUGAACCACGAGGGCAAUUAUCAGUCAUAUUGAUUAGAUGAAGACUACCGAAGAAAACGUUUCGUUGUAGUCAAGACCCAAAAUCUAAUUGACCUCCUAAGCCACAAGGCCGGCCUUGUAUACAUCUAUGAGGCCACCUUUUUUUAAUUUUAUCUUAAAUACCCACUUGCAAGUAAUUGGGUGUUGAUUUUUAGGAAGCUCAAUGAAGAUCUAAGUUCCAUUGUAACUUGUAA
Non-coding RNA from Physcomitrium patens, 1627 nucleotides. The record is from RefSeq and is a predicted model, not a curated record. NCBI's taxonomy places the organism in Eukaryota, Viridiplantae, Streptophyta, Bryopsida, Funariales, Funariaceae.